GACGCCUGCCCAGUGCCGGAAGGUUAAGUAAAUUAGUUAUUCUUAUGAAAAAGCUAAUGAAUCAAGCCCCGGUGAACGGCGGCCGUAACUCUGACGGUCCUAAGGUAGCGAAAUUCCUUGUCGCGUAAGUUGUGACCCGCACGAAAGGCGUAACGAUCUGGGUACUGUCUCAGAGAGAGACUCGGUGAAAUAGACAUGUCUGUGAAGAUGCAGACUUCUUACACCUGGACAGAAAGACCCUAUGAAGCUUGACUGUAUCUUGAAAUUGAAUUUGAGUUUUUUUUGCGCAGCCUAGGUGGGAGGCUAUGAAAAAGUUUUUUCGGAAACUUUGGAGCCACAGUGAGAGACCACUCUUUAAAAACUAAAAUUCUAAUAGUGUUUUCUUGAAGCAGAACACUUGACAGUUUUAGGUGGACAGUUUUUUUGGGGCGAAAACCUCCUAAAAAGUAACGGAGGUGUACAAAGGUUCCCUCAAACUGGACGGAAAUCAGUUGAAGAGUACAAAGGCAAAAGGAGCUUAACUGCAAGACUGACACGUCGAGCAGAGGCGAAAGCCGGUCUUAGUGAUCCGACGGUUCCGUGUGGAAGGGCCGUCGCUCAACGGAUAAAAGUUACUCUAGGGAUAACAGGCUGAUCUUCCCCAAGAGUUCACAUCGACGGGAAGGUUUGGCACCUCGAUGUCGGCUCAUCGCAACCUGGGGCGGUAGUAUGUCCC
Molecule: ribosomal RNA, 715 nt
Filed under: Bryopsis corticulans
Lineage: Eukaryota; Viridiplantae; Chlorophyta; Ulvophyceae; Bryopsidales; Bryopsidaceae
Description: partial large subunit ribosomal RNA
Rfam family: Bacterial large subunit ribosomal RNA
Source: RNAcentral